This 584-nucleotide unclassified non-coding RNA is filed under the name Hevea brasiliensis (rubber tree). The record is from RNAcentral. Lineage: Eukaryota; Viridiplantae; Streptophyta; Magnoliopsida; Malpighiales; Euphorbiaceae.
GUGCUGUUCGGCGUGAUAAUUCGGGAAAAAAGGACAUACCUAGGGACUCAUUGGUUGAACAAGUGAAAGAAUUGCUAGAAAGUAUUCAACAAAGCCUGUUUGAUGCGGCAAAAGAGAAACGAGAUACAUGCAUUCAAGUUAUUAAUACAUGGGAGGAGUUUACCGAAGCCCUCAGUCAGAAGAAAAUGAUACUAGCUCCGUGGUGUGAUGAAGAGGAGGUUGAGAAGGACGUGAAAACAAGGACCAAGGGUGAGAUGGGAGCAGCUAAAACCUUGUGUUCCCCAUUCGAGCAGCCCGCACUUCCAGAAGGUACCAAAUGUUUUGCAUCUGGGAAACCUGCAAAAAAAUGGAGCUACUGGGGCCGAAGUUACUAAAGCUAUCACCUCGUGUUUAUCGUCUAUGUUGCGCCUGCAUACACUGUCGAGAAAUCUGCGUUUAAGAGUUGUUGAGUAGCGGGGCAUUCGAUUUGGUUAGUUCUGGGUUCAUCAAAACUUCCAAUAGGGACUACAAUACGAUAAAGAAAAAAGCAUUCACUUAGCAAGUUAACGAUGGAACACCUAACUAUGUUUCCAUACUUGGAUUUA